RNAcentral lists this ribosomal RNA (671 nucleotides) under uncultured Lactococcus sp. Its description in RNAcentral is "bacterial SSU rRNA". It matches the Rfam family "Bacterial small subunit ribosomal RNA", at positions 28 to 674 of the family's 1533-position model. The record is from RNAcentral. Lineage: Bacteria; Bacillati; Bacillota; Bacilli; Lactobacillales; Streptococcaceae.
GACGAACGCUGGCGGCGUGCCUAAUACAUGCAAGUUGAACGCUUGAUUUUCACCGAAGCUUGCUUCACCGAAAAUCAAGAGUAGCGAACGGGUGAGUAACGCGUGGGUAACCUACCUUUCAGCGGGGGAUAACUAUUGGAAACGAUAGCUAAUACCGCAUAACAAUGUUGGAUGCAUAUUCGACAUUUGAAAGUACCAAUUGGUAUACUGAGAGAUGGACCCGCGUUGUAUUAGCUAGUUGGUAGUGUAAUGGACUACCAAGGCGAUGAUACAUAGCCGACCUGAGAGGGUGAUCGGCCACAUUGGGACUGAGACACGGCCCAAACUCCUACGGGAGGCAGCAGUAGGGAAUCUUCGGCAAUGGACGAAAGUCUGACCGAGCAACGCCGCGUGAGUGAAGAAGGUUUUCGGAUCGUAAAACUCUGUUGUUAGAGAAGAACGUUGCAUAGAGUGGAAAAUUAUGCAAGUGACGGUAUCUAACCAGAAAGGGACGGCUAACUACGUGCCAGCAGCCGCGGUAAUACGUAGGUCCCGAGCGUUGUCCGGAUUUAUUGGGCGUAAAGCGAGCGCAGGUGGUUUAAUAAGUCUGAUGUGAAAGGCAGUGGCUCAACCAUUGUGUGCAUUGGAAACUGUUAGACUUGAGUGCAGUAGAGGAGAGUGGAAUUCCAUGU